Clarias gariepinus (North African catfish) is the source of this 609-nucleotide non-coding RNA. The record is from the annotation of a RefSeq genome assembly. Lineage: Eukaryota; Metazoa; Chordata; Actinopteri; Siluriformes; Clariidae.
AUGUUCACCUGCUGGGUUCCAUGCAUGAAAGAAAAAAAAAUUGACAUCAAGGAUCUUCAAGUGAAAACAGUAAAGAAUGGAGAAAAUGUAACUAUGGAGUGUAACAUUAGUGGGGUCAAAAAUAGUUUUUCUUGGUACAGACAGAAUUUUGGAGAAGUGCCUCAGUUUUUGGUGAGACCGUACAGAUCAGUCAAUCAGAACUACACAUUUGUUGAUGGAUUUAAUGAUAGUCGCUUCAGUGUUACUGUAAAUGACCAAAAGUUUGAUCUCAACAUUAAUAAAAUAAGAGAAGAUGAUGGAGGAGAAUAUUUCUGUGGAGAACUGGAUGGAAGUUCACUAAAGUUCACAUCUGGAACACGUCUGCAGUUUGAAGGUGAAGAGAUGAAACCCUGUCCUACACCUGGAACACUUAACAAGAACCCACACUCUGUUACACACCAGGGUUCAAACAGCAGAGAUGGAGAAGGUUCUUCAUCAAACAACCAUCAAACUCCCACCAAUCAGGCUGAUGAUGAAGAUUUCUUGAACUAUGCAGCUGUGAAUUUUGCUAAGAAACCUUCAUCCUCCAGAACAUCCGGAGACAUUUAUGCACAAGUUAAAAUAAAAUAG